This 492-nucleotide ribosomal RNA is filed under the name uncultured bacterium. RNAcentral describes it as "partial 16S ribosomal RNA". It matches the Rfam family "Bacterial small subunit ribosomal RNA", at positions 29 to 507 of the family's 1533-position model. The record is from RNAcentral.
AGUGAACGCUGGCGGUAGGCCUAACACAUGCAAGUCGAACGGCAGCACAGUAAGAGCUUGCCCUUACGGGUGGCGAGUGGCGGACGGGUGAGGAAUACAUCGGAAUCUACUUUUUCGUGGGGGAUAACGUAGGGAAACCUACGCUAAUACCGCAUACGACCUACGGGUGAAAGCAGGGGAUCUUCGGACCUUGCGCGAUUGAAUGAGCCGAUGUCGGAUUAGCUAGUUGGCGGGGUAAAGGCCCACCAAGAAGACGAUCCGUAGCUGGUCUGAGAGGAUGAUCAGCCACACUGGAACUGAGACACGGUCCAGACUCCUACGGGAGGCAGCAGUGGGGAAUAUUGGACAAUGGGCGCAAGCCUGAUCCAGCCAUACCGCGUGGGUGAAGAAGGCCUUCGGGUUGUAAAGCCCUUUUGUUGGGAAAGAAAAGCAGCAGGUUAAUACCCCGCUGUUCUGACGGUACCCAAAGAAUAAGCACCGGCUAACUUCGUG